AGGAUGAACGCUGGCGGCGUGCUUAACACAUGCAAGUCGAACGAUGAAGGCUGGAGCUUGCUCUGGCUGGAUUAGUGGCGAACGGGUGAGUAACACGUGAGUAACCUGCCCCAGACUCUGGGAUAAGCGCUGGAAACGGCGUCUAAUACCGGAUACGAGCUUCCACCGCAUGGUGAGGAGCUAGGAAAGUAAUUUC
Molecule: ribosomal RNA, 196 nt
Filed under: uncultured soil bacterium
Lineage: Bacteria
Description: partial 16S ribosomal RNA
Rfam family: Bacterial small subunit ribosomal RNA
Source: RNAcentral